CACCGCGGUUAUACGAGAGGCCCGAGUUGACGAUUACCGGCGUAAAAUGUGGUUAUUACAGUAUUUCACUAAAGCUAAACAUCUUCAAAGCUGUUAUAUGCUCUCGAAGACAGGAAAAUCUCCCACGAAAGUGGCUUUAAUAUCUAUGUACCACGAAAGCUAGGAAACAAACUGGGAUUAGAUACCCCACUAUGCCUAGCCCUAAACAAAGGUGAAAUUCUUACACCUAUCGCCUGCCCGGGAACUACGAGCCCCAGCUUAAAACCCAAAGGACUUGGCGGUGCUUCACACCCCCCUAGAGGAGCCUGUUCUAGAACCGAUAAUCCCCGUUAAACCUCACCCUCUCUUGUUUUCCCCGCCUAUAUACCGCCGUCGUCAGCUCACCCUAUGAAGGAUAAAUAGUGAGCAUAAUUGGUAAUACCUAAAACGCCAGGUCGAGGUGUAGCGUACGAGAGGGGAAGAAAUGGGCUACAUUCACUGAAUCAGUGAACCACGGAAGAUAGCUUGAAACAACCAUCUAAAGGAGGAUUUAGCAGUAAGGAGGGAAAUAGAGCGUCCCCCUGAAAUCGGCCCUGAAGCGCGCACACACCGCCCGUCACUCUCCCCAAAACAAACACAAAACCAUAAAUAAUAAGACCCCUAGAUAAAGGGGAGGCAAGUCGUAA
Molecule: ribosomal RNA, 665 nt
Filed under: Gnatholepis anjerensis (eye-bar goby)
Lineage: Eukaryota; Metazoa; Chordata; Actinopteri; Gobiiformes; Gobiidae
Description: partial 12S ribosomal RNA
Rfam family: Bacterial small subunit ribosomal RNA
Source: RNAcentral